AGAGUUUGAUUCUGGCUCAGGAUGAACGCUAGCUACAGGCUUAACACAUGCAAGUCGAGGGGCAGCAUUGGAGUAGCAAUACUCAGAUGGCGACCGGCGCACGGGUGAGUAACACGUAUCCAACCUGCCGCUUACUCGGGGAUAGCCUUUCGAAAGAAAGAUUAAUACCCGAUGGUAUAAAGAGUUCGCAUGUUCUCUUUAUUAAAGAAUUUCGGUAAGCGAUGGGGAUGCGUUCCAUUAGAUAGUUGGCGGGGUAACGGCCCACCAAGUCUACGAUGGAUAGGGGUUCUGAGAGGAAGGUCCCCCACAUUGGAACUGAGACACGGUCCAAACUCCUACGGGAGGCAGCAGUGAGGAAUAUUGGUCAAUGGACGAGAGUCUGAACCAGCCAAAGUAGCGUGAAGGAUGACUGCCCUAUGGGUUGUAAACUUCUUUUAUAAGGGAAUAAAGUGAGGGACGUGUCCCUUUUUGUAUGUACCUUAUGAAUAAGGAUCGGCUAACUCCGUGCCAGCCGCGGC
This 518-nucleotide ribosomal RNA is filed under the name uncultured bacterium. RNAcentral's name for it is "bacterial SSU rRNA". It matches the Rfam family "Bacterial small subunit ribosomal RNA", at positions 8 to 518 of the family's 1533-position model. The record is from RNAcentral.